Molecule: ribosomal RNA, 389 nt
Filed under: uncultured bacterium
Lineage: Bacteria
Description: bacterial SSU rRNA
Rfam family: Bacterial small subunit ribosomal RNA
Source: RNAcentral
AUUGAACGCUGGCGGCAUGCCUUACACAUGCAAGUCGAACGGCAGCACGGGAGCAAUCCUGGUGGCGAGUGGCGAACGGGUGAGUAAUAUAUCGGAACGUGCCCAGUCGUGGGGGAUAACUACUCGAAAGAGUGGCUAAUACCGCAUACGACCUGAGGGUGAAAGCGGGGGAUCGCAAGACCUCGCGCAAUUGGAGCGGCCGAUAUCAGAUUAGGUAGUUGGUGAGGUAAAGGCUCACCAAGCCGACGAUCUGUAGCUGGUCUGAGAGGACGACCAGCCACACUGGGACUGAGACACGGCCCAGACUCCUACGGGAGGCAGCAGUGGGGAAUUUUGGACAAUGGACGCAAGUCUGAUCCAGCCAUGCCGCGUGCGGGAAGAAGGCCUGG